This 411-nucleotide long non-coding RNA is filed under the name Rattus norvegicus (Norway rat). Its description in RNAcentral is "long non-coding RNA NONRATT021907". Lineage: Eukaryota; Metazoa; Chordata; Mammalia; Rodentia; Muridae. The record is from RNAcentral.
GUUUGGAGCCGGGGAUUCACGCCCACAGCGUCACGUCCUUAGGGAUUUUCGGUCGAAAUUCCACCUGAAUGGGACAUGGAACACCUGCACAAACUGGAUAUUUGCCCUGUUACGUCUCAAAGGUUCCAGAGAUCAGACUCAAGUUGUCAGGCUUGUGGGCAAGCCUUCUCCUCAGGCAGCCGACUCACCACCCUUUGCAGAUGACUUUUAUGACUUUGAAUGAGCCAAAGACAAAUGAUGCUUGAGGUUCAUGACUGACUUUUCAUCUGCUGGAGACCACCAGUGCUGUCGAAUAGGCGGCAAAACAAGAAAGAGAGGCCUAGGGGCUGGGGAUUUAGCUCAGUGGGAGAGCGCUUACCUAGGAAGUGCAAGGCCCUGGGUUCGGUCCCCAGUUCCGGAAAAAAAGAACCA